RNAcentral lists this ribosomal RNA (460 nucleotides) under uncultured bacterium. RNAcentral's name for it is "partial 16S ribosomal RNA". It matches the Rfam family "Bacterial small subunit ribosomal RNA", at positions 338 to 795 of the family's 1533-position model. The record is from RNAcentral.
CCUACGGGAGGCAGCAGUGAGGAAUAUUGGUCAAUGGGCGCUAGCCUGAACCAGCCAAGUAGCGUGAAGGAUGACUGCACUGUGGGUUGUAAACUUCUUUUAUCUGGGAAUAAAGUGCAGUAUGUAUACUGCUUUGCAUGUACCUUAUGAAUAAGCAUCGGCUAACUCCGUGCCAGCAGCCGCGGUAAUACGGAGGAUACGAGCGUUAUCCGGAUUUAUUGGGUUUAAAGGGUGCGUAGGCGGGUUGUUAAGUCAGUUGUUAAAGUUGGCGGCUCAACCGUAAAAUUGCAGUUGAUACUGGCAGCCUUGAGUACAGUAGAGGUAGGCGGAAUGCGUGGUGUAGCGGUGAAAUGCUUAGAUAUCGCGAAGAACUCCGAUUGCGAAGGCAGCCUGCUGGACUGUAACUGACGCUGAUGCUCGAAAGUGUGGGUAUCAAACAGGAUUAGAUACCCGAGUAGUC